RNAcentral lists this ribosomal RNA (402 nucleotides) under Trypanosoma evansi. RNAcentral describes it as "5.8S ribosomal RNA". The stretch from base 136 to 304 matches the Rfam family "5.8S ribosomal RNA". The record is from RNAcentral. Lineage: Eukaryota; Euglenozoa; Kinetoplastea; Trypanosomatida; Trypanosomatidae.
AUGCUCUACAUAAUAUACAGUAGUAAUAACACAGAGAAUACGUAUGGAAUGCGUAUCUCUCUAUAUAUAUUUAUGUAUAUAUGCUAUGUGUAUAUCAACCUCGCAUAUUUUCUCCCUGUUGACCACGGCUCCCACAACGUGUCGCGAUGGAUGACUUGGCUUCCUAUUUCGUUGAAAAACGCAGCAAAGUGCGAUAAGUGGUAUCAAUUGCAAAAUCAUUUCAUUGCCCAAUCUUUGAACGCAAACGGCGCAUGGGAGAAGCUCUCUCGAGCCAUCCCCGUGCAUGCCACAUUUCUCAGUGUCAAAUAUAAAAACAAAACACACACCUAUUUUGUGUUGUUCAACGCACGCAAAAAAUCCCGCCACCUCUUCUCCUCCUGGGGGGCAUAUUCAUGUUUGUGA